AAAUGCGAUAAGUAGUGUGAAUUGCAGAAUUCAGUGAAUCAUCGAAUCUUUGAACGCACAUUGCGCCCCUUGGUAUUCCAUGGGGCAUGCCUGUUCGAGCGUCAUUUGUACCCUCAAGCUCUGCUUGGUGUUGGGUGUUUGUCCCCGUCUCCGCGCGUGGACUCGCCCCAAAGUGAUUGGCAGCCGGCGUACUGGUCCCGGAGCGCAGCACAUGUCGCGCAAACGAGUGCCUUGGUACGGCGGCGUCCAUAAGCCCCUGUCUCACGCUCUUGACCUCGGAUCAGGUAGGGAUACCCGCUGAACUUAAGC
Molecule: unclassified non-coding RNA, 309 nt
Filed under: plant metagenome
Description: partial contains 5.8S ribosomal RNA, internal transcribed spacer 2, and large subunit ribosomal RNA
Rfam family: 5.8S ribosomal RNA (bases 1-104)
Source: RNAcentral